AUUUUGUUGACCAUGAGUCCAGAGUUCAGUUUUGAUUGAGCAGUCACUCGGAAAGGAGUGUCCCGUUUGAUCUACAUAUUUUAAAAAGUGCUUGACAAUCGGUAGCUACUGAAAGAUUUAUAUCAUUGGAAAUUUCGUGUUUUCCGUAACUCGGAAAUUUUUCCAUAAGCACUGGGUCCUACUUGACAGACGUUGACGUUGCCUAGUUCUUCGCGAUACGGUUCAACUUUCAACUACUAUCCCUACGUUGUGCUGAAAAAUUCGUACAAGGCUUUCAAUCAGUCAUCACUGUGCCUAGUUCAUCGCAGUACUUAUUCAACUUCCAACCACGAAGGGCAGGCGUUGCAUGGCAUUGCACAAUUCGUUUACAGGUAUGACAUAAAUAUCAGUAUGAUAUAAGUUAGAGUACAUUAUAAAAAUAUAUUCAAUGUAAUAGUGUAUUAUAAUAUCACA
RNAcentral lists this unclassified non-coding RNA (453 nucleotides) under Athalia rosae (coleseed sawfly). Its description in RNAcentral is "misc RNA ENSAEAG00005010054.1". The record is from RNAcentral. Lineage: Eukaryota; Metazoa; Arthropoda; Insecta; Hymenoptera; Athaliidae.